RNAcentral lists this long non-coding RNA (204 nucleotides) under Solanum tuberosum (potato). RNAcentral's name for it is "long non-coding RNA (STUB_LNC001645)". The record is from RNAcentral. Lineage: Eukaryota; Viridiplantae; Streptophyta; Magnoliopsida; Solanales; Solanaceae.
GAAAAGGUUGAUUCUUGAGAGAUUUCCUGCCCUCUUCAUUAUUAUUUUUCUGUUCUUUCUCAGACUUGGCUUUCCUAGAAUUUAAAAUUUGAAUUCUUGAGGCCAAGCGAAAGUUUGAAUUCGGCUAUAAAAAGAGACCUAUGGUUCUCUUCCAAAAAAAAUUCAUCCAAAAAAUGGGACAAGAUCAGAGAGAAUCACCAAGGC